GCCCCCAUAGCUCAAUGGAUAGAGCGACGCUCUUCUAAGGCGACGAUCUGGGUUCGAUUCCUAGUGGGGGCACAA
RNAcentral lists this transfer RNA (75 nucleotides) under Candidatus Kaiserbacteria bacterium RIFCSPHIGHO2_02_FULL_55_20. RNAcentral's name for it is "tRNA-Arg". It matches the Rfam family "tRNA". From Rfam's summary of the family: Transfer RNA (tRNA) molecules are approximately 80 nucleotides in length. Their secondary structure includes four short double-helical elements and three loops (D, anti-codon, and T loops). Further hydrogen bonds mediate the characteristic L-shaped molecular structure. tRNAs have two regions of fundamental functional importance: the anti-codon, which is responsible for specific mRNA codon recognition, and the 3' end, to which the tRNAs corresponding amino acid is attached (by aminoacyl-tRNA synthetases). tRNAs cope with the degeneracy of the genetic code in two manners: having more than one tRNA (with a specific anti-codon) for a particular amino acid; and 'wobble' base-pairing, i.e. permitting non-standard base-pairing at the 3rd anti-codon position. Lineage: Bacteria; Candidatus Kaiseribacteriota. The record is from RNAcentral.